CCGUUCAACUCGCCCCUCCCCGGACGAGGGGCGUACGGGAG
RNAcentral lists this non-coding RNA (41 nucleotides) under unclassified sequences. Its description in RNAcentral is "THF-II sequence". It matches the Rfam family "THF-II riboswitch (folE RNA)". The record is from RNAcentral.